GAGGUGUGCACGCGCUUUCCCGCUUAAUUGCUGGUGCCGCCAUUUUCUUUCAGGGAAGCACAACCGGUUUGUGUGUCACUGAGGAUUAUGUGUUUGGAUUUUAUAUCAUAUUCAAGACUCGACGUCCUUCAGUGAUCCAGAGGAACCCACAAUCCCCUCAGUGAAUCCUCCAGACACCUGCUGUCUCAUUGGUGAAGGCCGAGCAGACUGCACAGGACCUGUGGCUGAUGUACCUCUGAUGGGCUACAACAACACUGAGCUGACGGCGCGAGGCAUUCACACGCAUCUGUUCAGCAGAGCCUUCAUCGUGAUUGAUGGAAGCAAACUUGCUUGUCGGAAGCUGCCAGCGACGUGAGGUCAUCCCUGAUGCGCCAAACAGGACUCUAAUCGGUGCUGAUGGCAGUCCGGCACUCUGAGUACGCAGUGUGCAUGCGUGUCCUGUGGGUCGAUGGGCCCCGGAAGAUAAGGCACACACGGCCAUGCUGGAACACUCGAGUAGUAGGAUCCUAGUCCUUCCUCGUCUCCUGGGUCUAUCCUCAACAGCACACAAAGGGCUGACUUUCAAGAGUUUGAGUAUGACACACAACAUCAGCAUCAACGAAUCAGAUUGGUCAAAUACUUCAAUUGAGUUUGAUAAACCAGUUCAGCCACAUAAUAGACAUAAAGGGUGGACAGAAUGGUCAGAUUAUUUACAGAAACAGGGAACCGCAGGGAAAGUGUUUAUCUGGAUUAUUUCUUCGGUUGAGGUUCACAUCAUGCUCAGAACAACAGAAUCAUCAUCACAAUAAACAAAUAGCUGUGUGAAGUGUUGAAGGAUCUUUAUAUGAUUCUCAUACACUUGUGUGUAUCUUCAUAUUUAGCUAUUUGUGUACACUUGUCUCACUUUUGUGUGUUUAUGUGUAGUAACAGUGUUUGUUAAAUUGAAUUGAAAAUGGCAUUUCUGAUUGUGAUUGUGUGAUUAAAAUCAUAUAUGAAGCAUCAUCAAGAGAGUAGUUUAGUAUCGCAACAAUCUUCAACACGUAUGACUUUACCCCUGCCUGCAUCAAACCAAAUACUGUUCUUCAAAACCAUGACAAGUUAAACAUUUAAUCACAUCACCAAGAAUGAUUAAUAUUGGAAGAAAUAUGAGCUUAUUUAUGUAUGGUAUAGAAUUUCAAUUUCCAUUUUUUUAUCUGUAUAUAUUGUAUGUACAUGUUUUUGUUUUGCUUCUUCUUACAUUGUUGUAUAUGUUUGUUAAAUUGUGCCAAACAAUAAAAGCACUUUCAC
Molecule: long non-coding RNA, 1266 nt
Organism: Triplophysa dalaica
Lineage: Eukaryota; Metazoa; Chordata; Actinopteri; Cypriniformes; Nemacheilidae
Exons: 4
Source: RefSeq, a predicted model, not a curated record